UAGGGAAUCUUCGGCAAUGGACGAAAGUCUGACCGAGCAACGCCGCGUGAGUGAAGAAGGGUUUCGGAUCGUAAAACUCUGUUGUUAGAGAAGAACAAGGACGUUAGUAACUGAACGUCCGCUGACGGUAUCUAACCAGAAAGCCACGGCUAACUACGUGCCAGCAGCCGCGGUAAUACGUAGGUGGCAAGCGUUGUCCGGAUUUAUUGGGCGUAAAGCGAGCGCAGGCGGUUUCUUAAGUCUGAUGUGAAAGCCCCCGGCUCAACCGGGGAGGGUCAUUGGAAAAUGGGAGACUUGAGUGCAGAAGAGGAGAGUGGAAUUCCAUGUGUAGCGGUGAAAUGCGUAGAUAUAUGGAGGAACACCAGUGGCGAAGGCGGCUCUCUGGUCUGUAACUGACGCUGAGGCUAGAAAGCGUGGGGAGCAAACAGG
Molecule: ribosomal RNA, 429 nt
Filed under: Gemmatimonadota bacterium
Lineage: Bacteria; Pseudomonadati; Gemmatimonadota
Description: Gemmatimonadetes bacterium partial 16S ribosomal RNA
Rfam family: Bacterial small subunit ribosomal RNA
Source: RNAcentral